AAAAUUACCCGCUAUAUUUGCAGGGCCAAAGAGGUGCAGCUAUAAUAUAAAUAGAGCUAGUCUAGCUAUUCUGUCUAGAAGUUAAAUACAAGUUGCGACAUUGAUAGCAAUGAAGUUCAGCGUGCUGUUACUGCUUGCAAUAGCUCGGAGCUGGCCGGCAGCAGAAGGUCUACAUCACUGCAAACUGACUAGAUCAGGUUCUAACACCAAUCUGAUUGUGACAGAAGAUGAUGGUUGCACUGGCAGUGUGCCAGUAGCCAAGUGUGCAGGAGACUGUGCGUCAUCCAUGGUACCUCGUGUCUUCACCCAGGAGAAUAUACCACAAGAGGAAUCUCUCAACUCUGUGUUUGAACACAGUUGUUAUUACUGCGGAGUUGUGGGCCUAAAGCUAGGAAGGAAUGUCACAUUUCCACUAUCCUGCCCCAAUGGUCACACUCGAGAAGGCAGUAAAUAUCUCGAGCUCCCUGUUCAUUGCCUAUGUAUACAAAGUACAUUUUUGAAUUGAACACAAUACCUCAAUAUUAUUGUUGGCAUGUUGUACAUGUAUGUGGCAGACAGAAUCUGAUAUCUUAAUCAUUCCAUAUUAAUUUCAAGGGUGACAAACUUUAUUGCAAUGAAAGCGAAAAUUCGGCCUUCAAAAUCGAGGGCGUCUAUAUAGAGCCAUAGAUAUUCGCACGUACAUCAGUACAGUAUAAUUAUAGUAACUGCAGUUCAUGAGUUUCACAUUCUAGAUACAUUGCUCCCAGAUCUCAAUGCCUCACUUGCUACCUGCUAUUAUAGUUGCUCUCUCCUUGGCGGGGGUGGCCCACACCAGGACAGACUGCUCCCUCGCUAUAACUACAGUUAAGUUUGAAUACACUACAGGAGAAUAUGCAGGCUGCUCUGGACAGAUUAAGACUGCUAGCUGCUCUGGGGACUGUUACUCUGCAAUGGAACCAAGAGUCUACCUGAAGAAAGAGGAUGCCCCCCAGGGAGUAGACCUCACCCCCUUCAAGCACGACUGUAAAUGUUGCUCUAUCAUCGAUAAGGAGUACAUACCCAAGAUCAUCAAACUGACAUGUGAAGAUGGAUCAGUCAAACAGAAGGAAGAGGAUGUGCGCUUUGCUACAAAAUGUCUGUGCACUCCAUGUAAACUUCUUCCAAGAUAGUUGAAUGCUGAACUAUGGACAAUCAUUUCAUAUACUGCUCUAUUAUGUUAUUAAUGUACGUUCAAGAGAGAAAUAUACCACCCAUUUAUAAUAUCAGUAUCUGUAACAACAUCAGUGUCAAAUUUCAGCAA
This is a long non-coding RNA of Halichondria panicea, 1279 nucleotides long. RefSeq lists it as uncharacterized. The transcript is spliced from 3 exons. NCBI's taxonomy places the organism in Eukaryota, Metazoa, Porifera, Demospongiae, Suberitida, Halichondriidae. The record is from RefSeq and is a predicted model, not a curated record.